GAUGAACGCUUGCGGCGUGCCUAAUACAUGCAAGUCGAGCGAACAGAUGAGGAGCUUGCUCCUCUGACGUUAGCGGCGGACGGGUGAGUAACACGUGGAUAACCUACCUAUAAGACUGGGAUAACUUCGGGAAACCGGAGCUAAUACCGGAUAAUAUAUUGAACCGCAUGGUUCAAUAGUGAAAGACGGUUUUGCUGUCACUUAUAGAUGGAUCCGCGCCGCAUUAGCUAGUUGGUAAGGUAACGGCUUACCAAGGCAACGAUGCGUAGCCGACCUGAGAGGGUGAUCGGCCACACUGGAACUGAGACACGGUCCAGACUCCUACGGGAGGCAGCAGUAGGGAAUCUUCCGCAAUGGGCGAAAGCCUGACGGAGCAACGCCGCGUGAGUGAUGAAGGUCUUCGGAUCGUAAAGCUCUGUUAUUAGGGAAGAACAAAUGUGUAAGUAACUAUGCACGUCUUGACGGUACCUAAUCAGAAAGCCACGGCUAACUACGUG
RNAcentral lists this ribosomal RNA (497 nucleotides) under uncultured bacterium. Its description in RNAcentral is "partial 16S ribosomal RNA". It matches the Rfam family "Bacterial small subunit ribosomal RNA", at positions 28 to 507 of the family's 1533-position model. The record is from RNAcentral.